GUCUACGGCCUUACCACCCUGAACAUGCCUGAUCUCGUCUGAUCUCAGAAGCUAGGCAGGGUCAGCCUGGUUAGUACUUGGAUGGGAGGACU
This 92-nucleotide ribosomal RNA is filed under the name Otolemur garnettii (small-eared galago). Lineage: Eukaryota; Metazoa; Chordata; Mammalia; Primates; Galagidae. The record is from RNAcentral.